Molecule: ribosomal RNA, 849 nt
Filed under: Triticum aestivum (bread wheat)
Lineage: Eukaryota; Viridiplantae; Streptophyta; Magnoliopsida; Poales; Poaceae
Description: partial small subunit ribosomal RNA
Source: RNAcentral
AUGAGCAGGAAAAUACUGAGGCAGAGAUUCAGGCUCGGGCAUCUGACAACAUCUCUUUCAGAAAAAUGGCAGAAUGCCGUGCACCCACCAAUGGCGCCACCAACACAGCAAGAUGUACAUCAUCAAGUCUCAGCCCCACAGUCACAUCCAUCUUCCAUGCCAGUCUUACCGAAUGCAGGGCAAACUGUCGGUGCAGUAAGAGCAUCUCCUUUGACAAGAGCUGAAAGAGGUAGAGGCAAUGCUCACACCGCUCGGGUCACUCGCACCGCCACCCCUUGCCAACAAGUGCCGUACCAGGAGGAAGAAGACGAAGAAUGCACACCUAACGUGUACGUAGGGAACCUACACUACGACGUUGUCAGCGAGGACCUCACCGAGCUCUUUGAGCAAGCCGGUGUUGUUGAGUUCUCAGAGGGUAUUUACAGCCGAGGAACAGGCCAGAGCCGAGGAUAUGGAUUUGUCACCAUGAGUACUGUUAAGGAGGCUGAGCUGGCUGUGGAGAUGUUCGAUGGCUUUAAAUUGUUUGGGAUGCCUCUUAUUGUGCACAAAGCAGCUCGGAGAGGCGCCCGGGUGGAAACUCCUUCCCAUCAAACCGAGUCCCCAUUCAGAAUCUACGUGGGCAAUCUGUCUUUGCAAGUCGAUGACUCUUGGUUGAAGGAGCUGUUUGGCAAGCACGGCAAAGUGGUCGAUGCUAGAGUCGUCUACAGGCACAGAGGAGGAACCUGGAGCUCUCAGGGAUUCGGUUUUGUCACGAUGGCAACAGAGAAGGAAACGUAUGAUGCUGUUUAUGCCCUCAACAAACAGAUUCUGGAUGGACGUGCCCUGCAGAUUCACUUUGAACCCCUGUAA